This is a long non-coding RNA of Melopsittacus undulatus (budgerigar), 965 nucleotides long. RefSeq lists it as uncharacterized. Lineage: Eukaryota; Metazoa; Chordata; Aves; Psittaciformes; Psittaculidae. The transcript is spliced from 2 exons. The record is from RefSeq and is a predicted model, not a curated record.
GGGAGGGAAGCAGGGCUGGCAGCAAGAAGGGAAGACGCUGCUCCUGCGGACAUCAGCGGAGUGGAUGCUCUCUUCCACAUCGGGGUGUUUUUCCCAGCCUUGCAAAGCACGGUCAGUGCUGACAGGCUAUGCUCUCCGGCUGGAUGCAGGAGGGAAAGAUGGUUGCUCUGCAAUUCGCAUGAGUUGGCCCUUCCUGCAGAGCUCCUGGGACUGGAAACGGCAAAGACCUUUAAGAUAACCAAGUCCAACCGUUACCCCAGGAUCGCCAAGACCACCACUAAACCAUACCACUGAGGGCAUAUAAGACCCAAAGCCUAAAAGAAUGCAUCAACCUGAAUGUUUUCUCUGCUCCACGUAUGUGGUGUCUUGUUGGCCAGCAACUUUAAAUCUUGGAUUGCAAGUCUCUUCACAGCCUUCCUGGGGUCAUUCUUCAAGUACUGCAACAAAAGCUGGAUCUGCAACAAAGUAAAUUCACUGUUUGAGAGAGAUGCUACUAGAGGGAAGGUCUUUUUAAAGGUACGUGUGAUGGAAUUUUGAGCAUACACAGCCAAAACUAACUCACCAUAUCUGCCCGAUGGCUCACCACAUGGAAAAGCCACUGCUUAGGCUGCAAUGCCACAGCAAGCUAAGACAGUCUGACAGCUGAUUUCUACCAUGCUGCUCUGCUUGUUCAAACAUCCUUCUCUAUCUUCUCUCACCCUGCACACCUGAGAAGCCUCGAAAGCUGUUUUGACACUCUCAGAGCUACCAUAAAGUAUCUCCAAGAAGUUCAGUAAAACCCUUAUACUGUUGUGAUUAUACUACUAGCAACUACUGAAGCUUAUCUGGGUGGCUGCAUGAUCUGCAGUUAACAGACAUCAACACAGACACCUUCUAUGUGGUUGCCAAACCCUAACCCAAACACCCCAAACCCCUACCCACCCCCUCUGAAGCCUUGAUCUCUUAUUAAAUGACACUUAACUGCA